RNAcentral lists this ribosomal RNA (441 nucleotides) under uncultured bacterium. Its description in RNAcentral is "SSU rRNA". It matches the Rfam family "Bacterial small subunit ribosomal RNA", at positions 369 to 808 of the family's 1533-position model. The record is from RNAcentral.
UCAUGGGCGUAGCCUGAACCAGCCAGUCGCGUGAGGGAUGAAGGUUCUAUNNCACNGUAAACCUCGAAUAUAAGGGAAUAAAGUGCGGGACGUGUCCCNUUUUGUAUGUACCGUAUGAAUAAGGAUCGGCUAACUCCGUGCCAGCAGCCGCGGUAAUACGGAGGAUCCGAGCGUUAUCCGGAUUUAUUGGGUUUAAAGGGAGCGUAGGCGGACGCUUAAGUCAGUUGUGAAAGUUUGCGGCUCAACCGUAAAAUUGCAGUUGAUACUGGGUGUCUUGAGUACAGUAGAGGCAGGCGGAAUUCGUGGUGUAGCGGUGAAAUGCUUAGAUAUCACGAAGAACUCCGAUUGCGAAGGCAGCCUGCUGGACUGUAACUGACGCUGAUGCUCGAAAGUGUGGGUAUCAAACAGGAUUAGAUACCCUGGUAGUCCAAGGGCGAAUUC